This 484-nucleotide ribosomal RNA is filed under the name uncultured bacterium. RNAcentral's name for it is "partial 16S ribosomal RNA". It matches the Rfam family "Bacterial small subunit ribosomal RNA", at positions 29 to 507 of the family's 1533-position model. The record is from RNAcentral.
AUUGAACGCUGGCGGCAUGCUUUACACAUGCGAGUCGAACGGCAGCGCGGGUUUCGGCCUGGCGGCGAGUGGCGAGCGGGUGAGUAAUACAUCGGAACGUGCCCAGUAGUGGGGGAUAGCUCGGCGAAAGCCGGAUUAAUACCGCAUACGACCUGAGGGUGAAAGCGGGGGAUCUUCGGACCUCGCGCUAUUGGAGCGGCCGAUGGCAGAUUAGCUAGUUGGUGGGGUAAAGGCCUACCAAGGCGACGAUCUGUAGCUGGUCUGAGAGGACGACCAGCCACACUGGGACUGAGACACGGCCCAGACUCCUACGGGAGGCAGCAGUGGGGAAUUUUGGACAAUGGGCGAAAGCCUGAUCCAGCAAUGCCGCGUGUGUGAUGAAGGCCUUCGGGUUGUAAAGCACUUUUGGCGGGAACGAAAAGGACUGUGCCAAUACCACGGUUCGAUGACGGUACCCGCAGAAUAAGCACCGGCUAACUACGUG